GAGUGGAAGAAGACGGGCCAAAGGGGAGAAGAGAAGGGCAGGGCUUCACGGAAUCCGAGGAGAUCAAAGAAGACUAGGGCGUGCGAGCAGGGGCCGUCUGGCAAUAAACCGGCCAAUGGGGGACUGCAAAAGCGGCGCCUGGAGCCUAUGGAGACCGUGUGUGGCUGGUUAGAUUUUCAAACAAGAACUUAUAACCCAGCAAGAAUGGGCCUUUGCCUGGAGAAGAAUCCAGACCAUGGGAUGAAUCCCCAAAUGCUAUUUCCAUCUGUAGAGCCUAGAGCACCCACCCCUACCAAGGAAGUCUUCCCAGAUAAUUUGUGUUUCAUAUGUAAAAGCAAGUUUUUUUUUUCAAAUGCUCAAAACCCAAGCAAGUUAAGCCCUUCCUUCCUUCCUUCCUUCCUUUCUUUUCUCUCUCUCUCUCUUUCUUUCUCUCUCUCUCUCUUUCUUUCUUUUUUUUCUUUUUUAGACAGGGUCUGUGUCCCCUAGGCUGGAGUGCAGUGGUAUGAUCAUGACUCAUUGCAGCCUCAACCUCCCAGGCUCAAGUGAUCCUCCCGCUUCAGCCUCUGGAGUACCUGGGACUACUGGCAUACACCACCACGCCCAUCUAAUUUUUAAAAAAGUUUUUGUAGAGACAGAGUCUCACUAUGUUGCCCAGGCUGGUCUCAAACUCCUAGGCUUAAGUGAUUUGCCCACCUCGGCCUCCCAAAAUGCCGAGAUUAUAGGCAUGAGCCAGCACACCUGGCCAAGUUAAGCUUUUCUUUGCCCUUAGAACGAGAUAAUUGUAAAAUGAAAACAUUGAGAUUAGUUUUUUUGGUCUGUAAAUCUCAUGUUACAUAUAGUUUAAAUUACAUUGAGUGUGAUUGGAAUAGAUACUAGGUAGAAAAAUAUUAUCUAGUUAAUCUAUACCACUUUCCUGUGAAAAGAGAGAAAAGAAGACACAUAUUUAUUUAACAGAGAACACAAUUCUGAUGGGCUGGAGAUGAGUCUGUGUAAGUCUAUUAACUUAUAUUUCACAAAAAAGAAUUUUUUACUUAAAAAUGUAUUUCCAACUUUAUUUUUACAUUUCAAACCUACAGAAAAGUUGACAGUGAACACUCAUAUACCCUGCACUUAAGUUCGCCAGUUGUUUUAUUUUGAAUUUUUAAAAUUUUUUUAGAGGCAGGGUCUUGCUCUCUUGCCUAGGCUAGAAUGCAGUGGUGUGAUCUCGGUUCACUGCAACCUCUGCCACCGGGCUCAAGCAAUCCUCCCGCCUAAGCCUCCUGCAUAGCUGGGACUACAGGCAUGAGCCACCAUGCCCAGCUAAUUUUUUGUAGAAAUGGGGUUUCACCAUGUUGCCCAGGCUGGUCUCGAAUGCCUGAGCUCAAUCAGUUCGCCUAACUCGGCCUCCCAGGGUGCUGGGAUUACAGGCGUGAGCCACCAUGCCCGGCCUGGAUUCACUCGUUGUUAAUAUUUGAUCACAUUUGCUUUCUUUCCAGACCAUAGGAUAAUUGUUGACAUGGCUGCAUAGCAUUCCAUUCUUUGGAUGGCCUCAGAUUUUUGAGCCACUCCUCUGUCACUGGAUAUUUGAAUGUGUUCAGAUAUUUUCGUUGUUAUAACCAGGAUGGGAUAAGUCUUUGCUGUCAAAUUUUUGUGCGGAGCCAUGAUUAUUUCCUUGUGAUAAAUUCCUAGAAGUAGAAUUUAUAGAUUUUUUUUGAGACAGAGUCUCACUUUGUUGCCAAGGCUGGAGUGUAGUGGUGUGAUCUCUGCUCAUGGCAACCUCUGCCUCCUGGUUUCAAGUGAUUCUUCUGCUUCAGCCUCUGGAGUAGCUAGGACUACGGGCACACACUACCAUGCCGCCUAGCUAAUUUUUGUAUUUUUAAUAGACACAGGGUUUCACCAUGUUGGCCAGGCUGGUCUCGAACUUGUGGCCUCAAGUGAUCUGCCCACCUCGGCCUCCCAGGGCGCUGGGAUUACAGGCAUGAGCCACCUCACCCGGCUGAAUUUAUGGAUUUAAAGGAGGUCACUGCAUUGUAAAUCAAGUGUUGAGUGACAGUGGUACGCAUAACAGUGAACCUCCUCAUCUAAGCUCUAUAUCAGGGGUCAGCAAAUUAUGGCCCCUGGUUUGCUGACCCUUUACAGUUUCCUAUAGCCUGCAAACUAGGAAUACUAUUUACAUCUUUAAAGGGCUUUAGA
This 2172-nucleotide long non-coding RNA is filed under the name Homo sapiens (human). RNAcentral's name for it is "UXT antisense RNA 1". Lineage: Eukaryota; Metazoa; Chordata; Mammalia; Primates; Hominidae. The record is from RNAcentral.